AUUGAACGCUGGCGGCAUGCUUUACACAUGCAAGUCGAACGGCGGCGCGGGGCAACCUGGCGGCGAGUGGCGAACGGGUGAGUAAUAUAUCGGAACGUACCCAGAAGUGGGGGAUAACGUAGCGAAAGUUACGCUAAUACCGCAUACGAUCUACGGAUGAAAGUAGGGGACCGCAAGGCCUUAUGCUUUUGGAGCGGCCGAUAUCUGAUUAGCUAGUUGGUGAGGUAAAGGCUCACCAAGGCGACGAUCAGUAGCUGGUCUGAGAGGACGACCAGCCACACUGGAACUGAGACACGGUCCAGACUCCUACGGGAGGCAGCAGUGGGGAAUUUUGGACAAUGGGCGCAAGCCUGAUCCAGCAAUGCCGCGUGAGUGAAGAAGGCCUUCGGGUUGUAAAGCUCUUUUGUCAGGGAAGAAACGGUAGAGGCUAAUAUCCUUUGCUAAUGACGGUACCUGAAGAAUAAGCACCGGCUAACUACGUG
This 482-nucleotide ribosomal RNA is filed under the name uncultured bacterium. RNAcentral's name for it is "partial 16S ribosomal RNA". It matches the Rfam family "Bacterial small subunit ribosomal RNA", at positions 30 to 507 of the family's 1533-position model. The record is from RNAcentral.